AUAUAUAUAUCAAACCCUCUCUUGUCGAGUGGUUUGGAUGUGGGGGUUUGCUGGCCUCUUGAAGGGUUCAGCUCCUCUGAAAUGCAUUAGCAGAACAACAACCUGUUCAUUGGUGUGAUAACUAUCUACGCUAUUGAAUGUGAGGGUAAAAGUUCAGCUUUCUAACCGUCCAUGGACAAUUUAUCAUUA
This 189-nucleotide unclassified non-coding RNA is filed under the name uncultured Cortinarius. Its description in RNAcentral is "sequence contains ITS2". Lineage: Eukaryota; Fungi; Basidiomycota; Agaricomycetes; Agaricales; Cortinariaceae. The record is from RNAcentral.